RNAcentral lists this ribosomal RNA (495 nucleotides) under uncultured bacterium. RNAcentral's name for it is "partial 16S ribosomal RNA". It matches the Rfam family "Bacterial small subunit ribosomal RNA", at positions 28 to 507 of the family's 1533-position model. The record is from RNAcentral.
GACGAACGCUGGCGGCGUGCCUAAUACAUGCAAGUAGAACGCUGAGGGAGGAGCUUGCUUCUCUGGAUGAGUUGCGAACGGGUGAGUAACGCGUAGGUAACCUGCCUGGUAGCGGGGGAUAACUAUUGGAAACGAUAGCUAAUACCGCAUAAUAGUAGAUGUUGCAUGACAUUUGCUUAAAAGGUGCAAUUGCAUCACUACCAGAUGGACCUGCGUUGUAUUAGCUAGUUGGUGGGGUAACGGCUCACCAAGGCGACGAUACAUAGCCGACCUGAGAGGGUGAUCGGCCACACUGGGACUGAGACACGGCCCAGACUCCUACGGGAGGCAGCAGUAGGGAAUCUUCGGCAAUGGACGGAAGUCUGACCGAGCAACGCCGCGUGAGUGAAGAAGGUUUUCGGAUCGUAAAGCUCUGUUGUAAGAGAAGAACGAGUGUGAGAGUGGAAAGUUCACACUGUGACGGUAUCUUACCAGAAAGGGACGGCUAACUACGUG